AGAAAGGAACUUAUUUCAACAUUAUAUCAGUUUCAUCUCAUGAGUGAUGAUCACUGUCGGUGUGCUGGUGACUACUUGUGCAAUUUGGCAGUAUGUUUGUUUUCCUGGCCGAAAAGUAUCGUGAACAAGUUCAAAACUAUAUGAAACGACUGGCAUUAACGAGCCAGUUGGAAAUUUUAAUGAAAGAAAUAAAUUGUGCCAAUGACUUCCACAUCAUUUUGAACCACAGGAAAACCGUCGAAUUGACAUGAUUUGUUAUGGUGAUCCACAUGGUCACUCAGCAAUGGCACGUACUGUUGGGCUUCCUGUGGCGAUUGCUACAAAGAUGGUACUGGAUGGGGACUUGAAAGCCAAAGGUGUUGUUCGACCUCUUAGCCGCGAAAUUUACAAGCCAUUGCUCACCCGACUCAAAGCGGAAGGAAUAGACAGUGAAAUGACGACAACGGUUCUGUGAGACGAAAAUCCAAGAAGUAGAAAAAACGGAAGCAAACUACUGGGUCGCCUAAAGAGACCCCAGUUUUUGUGUUCUAAGGAUUUUUUUUUCUGUUUAAUUCAAGUGUGAAAGUUUAGAUGGAAGGGUUUUGUAGUGGAAUACUGUAGGCAGCCUGCCAGAAUUUUGGCCCGGAUUUGGUUCAUAUGGAGUGAACCUUAAACAUACCGCUUAGUCGUUGACAAGGAAAUCUGGAUAAAAGCAGAGAGAACGAGGUUCACGGGAACUGGGUACGAGGUUGAUCGCCCGUGAAUUUCAUGGUGAUAUUCUAAGAAGAAAUUAGCUAAUGGUCACUUUCGGGGAUGAAAGUGUCUUGAAUUGUUAUAGUAGCGAGGAAGCACUCUUUUGGAUAAACUAUUUACAAGGUUUUGAGCAGUUAUUACGUGAUGUUUAUUUUUAGAGUCACGCAAGAUUCAUCGAACCAAAAUAUUCUUUAUACUUAUUUAUUGGUUUAAUUGUACCGCAUAUACCUAUGUGGUAACUUCUAAGACUUCGAAAGUCAUCUUAACGUAAAUGUCUGGUAGUAAAGGACUGUAAGAUAGAUAUUUUCUUCAGUGAUGUAAGUAUAAGACAAAUCUGUUACUACUGCUGAAAGUCUGAUUAUUUUUUAUACACAAAUGGCUUUUUUAUAUAUUUAAAGCUAUUUAAAUUUCAAACGAGGCCCCGAAAGAGGCUCUCUUGAAAUAGUACUUCACUAACUGCUUUGCCGAUGUUUGGCAAAUCGUUGCAGAAAGGCCCGGAGGAGCUUUCGAUUCUUCUUAUUCGAUCAAAUCGUAGUUACUCUAAAGUAUUAUUUACUUCGGUGAAGCGCCAGUUGAGAUUUCAUGUUGCUUAGUAACCUCUGACAAAAGCUCAACUUUCGACUGGAGGAAAAGGUAUUGAACGUAAUCUGACAAGAGAAAAACUCUCUUGAAUUUUAACGAUAUAUGCUUGGGGUGUUGGAUGUAUUGAAUUAUUUAAUCGAUAACGUGUAAAUCUAUUUGCAUUUUAAAAGUAGCUUUGCUGUACAUGUCCUGCUGUUGGAAAUAAUCACGGUAAUGGAGUUUAAGUCCAAAUGUAAUUGACCUGUCUCUAAUUGUAGCUUUUUCAGAGUUCCUCAAUUAAUAAAUUAUUUACAAUAUUAUGA
This 1616-nucleotide long non-coding RNA is filed under the name Orbicella faveolata. RNAcentral's name for it is "uncharacterized LOC110045105". The record is from RNAcentral. Lineage: Eukaryota; Metazoa; Cnidaria; Anthozoa; Scleractinia; Merulinidae.